RNAcentral lists this ribosomal RNA (426 nucleotides) under uncultured prokaryote. RNAcentral's name for it is "bacterial SSU rRNA". It matches the Rfam family "Bacterial small subunit ribosomal RNA", at positions 355 to 796 of the family's 1533-position model. The record is from RNAcentral.
UGGGGAAUUUUCCGCAAUGGGCGCAAGCCUGACGGAGCAAUACCGCGUGAGGGAGGAAGGCUUUUGGGUUGUAAACCUCUUUUCUCAAGGAAGAAGCACUGACGGUACUUGAGGAAUCAGCAUCGGCUAACUCCGUGCCAGCAGCCGUGGUAAUACGGAGGAUGCAAGCGUUAUUCGGAAUUAUUGGGCGUAAAGCGUCCGCAGGUGGUGCCUCAAGUCUGCUGUCAAAGACCGAAGGACAACUUCGGGCAGGCAGAGGAAACUCAACCACUAGAGUACGGUAGGGGUAGAGGGAAUUUCCAGUGUAGCGGUGAAAUGCGUAGAGAUUGGAAAGAACACCAGUGGCGAAGGCGCUCUACUGGACCGUAACUGACACUCAGGGGCGAAAGCUAGGGGAGCGAAAGGGAUUAGAUACCCCCGUAGUCC